GCCGCCAGGAACCCCCGCGCCACCGCCGCCGCGCCUGCCUCCAGCAGCUCUCGGCCACGCGACCGUGCGGUCAGCGGCGCUUGGAGGGCGGCCGGAGCUGGGCCUGAGCCUGGGGACUCGCCUGAUCCCGGGCGGCCAUCACCAUCACCACAACCGCCCCACCCCCGCCGUCGCCUCGUGGGGCCCCGGCCCCCUCCCGGGUCCGAUGUGUUCCAGGGUGGGCCAGAAGAAGAGAAAAGAGAAAAGACAGCUUGAUGGUGACUAACCCAACCUCGGCUGUAGGCCCCACGUAUGAACUGAUGCUCUCUCCAGCAGCUCUUCUUUCUCUGUGUGUGUCUGGAAGUCCAUGUAGAAUUCACUCAGUUUAUGUGGCCGUUACUGCUUCCUUUACUGGCACAAAAGCAUCUGCUUGAGCCUUCUCUCCUCAGACAUGGUGAGAUGUACUCUGAUCUAGAGCAGGCAGCUGGCCAGAGACCCACAGGGAGCUCAGUGAUUGGCCUCAGAUGACCUUGAGGACAAAGGGGAGGUCAGUGACUACUGUUGUCUGAGAAUGUGAUGCUGGAGGUGGAACCAAGCCAAGAUUGUCCCUUGAAGGGAAGUGAUGGCACAGGCUCUGAUCAGCUCUUCUGGGAACAGACAGAGAAGUGGGAAUUCCUGCCAAAGCCACAGGAUGAAUACAGCGCCAAGAACCUGAACCAGAAAAAUGCAGCAGGAAAGGAAACUGCAGUAGCCACCAUCCUGAGGCUGCUGUACAAGGAGCAUUCCUGAGACAGGGGACGUGCUCCCCAGCCCUCCUUGAGGCCUCUGCCACUGCCCUGCUUGUCUAGAAUCUCCUCCAUUCUGCUUGUGCCACAUCUUUCAGGCCUGCUCUGGGUCUGAUGUGCUGUAGAACACUUUGCUCAGGCGCUUGGGAGAUAGAGACUUCAUUACCAUCGUUUCCACCCCAAAGAACUAGGCAGCACACUGGGAAGUUGCCAAAGGAAGGGACUCCAGCCUCCCAGGAGUUAACACCAUUUCUCCCCAGCUGUCCUCCCCUUGGUGCUCCUUUUCCUCCCUCCUCCUGCUCACAGCAGGCAGGGCCUGGAACCAGGAGCCAUGCUGCUGUGCUGUUGCCAGGGGAGCUGGGAGGCAGAUCGGAGCUAUGCAGGGGAAAGGCUCGGCCUGUCAGAGUGUCUGAGAUGAACCACCGCCAUCCCCGUGCAGCUGGGCUCCAUGUGUCUCAGGGCUCUUGUUCUGUGCCUGAGAACGGUGAAGCCCAGUGAGGUUCAAGGGCACACUCGCUAUUCAUCAGUCGGGGGUUCUUGAUGGUCCUGCCUCUCCCAAGGAUGGGUUCCCCCCUUCCUCUUUCUCUCCUUCCUAGGACACAUUCCUGGGUGCCUGUGGUGAGGACUGCACACCCCCUCCUCCCCAGCCCCCCCAAACCCUGAAUCAACUCCUAUUAAGGAGGCCAGGCGGGACAGGGACAAUGGCUUCAAGAAAUCAUUCAGGCGGGACCCCAGCCACAUUCGCAUGCCCGUCACUCCCAGAGCCCCUAUAGAUCCCACUCUGCUGUGAUUCAGGGACCCUUGGACCCCCAGCUUGCACAUGCCUAGACAGGAGCAGGUCACUAGGUGCUGCCCUGCACAACAGGCCAGUGCAGUGUUAUUCUCAGGGGCCCUGGUGCCUCCAUCCCACUGGCUGGAUACUUUGUGCAGUUGGUUGGAAAGCAGAAAUUACAAUAUUUUCUGAAAUGUGGUAAUAUCAAAAUAUAAGAGGCACAUAUACAUGAUAACUAAUUUCACUUUAGAUAUACUGGGAAAGUUUGCUAAGAAACAUGGACAAAGACCUGUGGUUGAGUAAUGAGUCAUUUCAUUCUAUGGAAUACUACACACCUGUAAGACUGUGGUCAAUCUACCUCUGCGUGUGGGCUGAUAGGGAAGGUUGCUAAUAUACUUAAGUGAAUAGAAUAAAGUACAAAACAGUCAA
Mus pahari (shrew mouse) is the source of this 1965-nucleotide long non-coding RNA. RefSeq lists it as uncharacterized. The record is from RefSeq and is a predicted model, not a curated record. NCBI's taxonomy places the organism in Eukaryota, Metazoa, Chordata, Mammalia, Rodentia, Muridae. The transcript has 5 exons.